UAUGAAGGAAGCCCCACUAAAACCAACCACGUCCUGUGGCGAACGUGGGAUCAACACAUCCAAUGCA
This 67-nucleotide small RNA is filed under the name Bacillus solimangrovi. Its description in RNAcentral is "Bacillaceae-1 RNA". It matches the Rfam family "Bacillaceae-1 RNA". Lineage: Bacteria; Bacillati; Bacillota; Bacilli; Caryophanales; Bacillaceae. The record is from Rfam by way of RNAcentral.